This 465-nucleotide ribosomal RNA is filed under the name Vreelandella stevensii. RNAcentral's name for it is "partial 16S ribosomal RNA". It matches the Rfam family "Bacterial small subunit ribosomal RNA", at positions 338 to 795 of the family's 1533-position model. The record is from RNAcentral. Lineage: Bacteria; Pseudomonadati; Pseudomonadota; Gammaproteobacteria; Oceanospirillales; Halomonadaceae.
CCUACGGGAGGCAGCAGUGGGGAAUAUUGGACAAUGGGGGCAACCCUGAUCCAGCCAUGCCGCGUGUGUGAAGAAGGCCCUCGGGUUGUAAAGCACUUUCAGUGAGGAAGAACGCCUGGUGGUUAAUACCCAUCAGGAAAGACAUCACUCACAGAAGAAGCACCGGCUAACUCCGUGCCAGUAGCCGCGGUAAUACGGAGGGUGCGAGCGUUAAUCGGAAUUACUGGGCGUAAAGCGCGCGUAGGUGGCUUGAUAAGCCGGUUGUGAAAGCCCCGGGCUCAACCUGGGAACGGCAUCCGGAACUGUCAAGCUAGAGUGCAGGAGAGGAAGGUAGAAUUCCCGGUGUAGCGGUGAAAUGCGUAGAGAUCGGGAGGAAUACCAGUGGCGAAGGCGGCCUUCUGGACUGACACUGACACUGAGGUGCGAAAGCGUGGGUAGCAAACAGGAUUAGAUAUCCCAGUAGUC